RNAcentral lists this ribosomal RNA (459 nucleotides) under uncultured bacterium. RNAcentral's name for it is "partial 16S ribosomal RNA". It matches the Rfam family "Bacterial small subunit ribosomal RNA", at positions 338 to 795 of the family's 1533-position model. The record is from RNAcentral.
CCUACGGGAGGCAGCAGUGAGGAAUAUUGGUCAAUGGUCGGGGGACUGAACCAGCCAAGCCGCGUGAGGGAGGAAGGUACAGAGUAUCGUAAACCUCUUUUGUCAGGGAACAAAGCCGGGGACGUGUCCCCGGCUGAGUGUACCUGACGAAAAAGCAUCGGCUAACUCCGUGCCAGCAGCCGCGGUAAUACGGAGGAUGCGAGCGUUAUCCGGAUUUAUUGGGUUUAAAGGGUGCGCAGGCGGUCUGUUAAGUCAGCGGUCAAAGCCCGGGGCUCACCCCCGGCCCGCCGUUGAAACUGGCAGUCUCGAGUUGGAGAGAAGUAUGCGGAAUGCGCGGUGUAGCGGUGAAAUGCAUAGAUAUCGCGCAGAACUCCGAUUGCGAAGGCAGCAUGCCGGCUCCACACUGACGCUGAGGCACGAAAGCGUGGGUAUCGAACAGGAUUAGAUACCCGUGUAGUC